RNAcentral lists this ribosomal RNA (253 nucleotides) under uncultured bacterium. RNAcentral's name for it is "partial 16S ribosomal RNA". It matches the Rfam family "Bacterial small subunit ribosomal RNA", at positions 524 to 776 of the family's 1533-position model. The record is from RNAcentral.
UACGUAGGGUGCGAGCGUUGUCCGGAAUUAUUGGGCGUAAAGAGCUCGUAGGCGGUCUGUCGCGUCGGCUGUGAAAACCCGAGGCUCAACCUCGGGCCUGCAGUCGAUACGGGCAGACUAGAGUGCUGUAGGGGAGACUGGAAUUCCUGGUGUGAGCGGUGAAAUGCGCAGAUAUCAGGCAGAACACCUGGGCGAAGGCGGCCGGCUGGGCCGACCCUGACGCUGGAGGCGCGAAGGCGUGGGAGCGAACGGG